UGGGGAAUAUUGGACAAUGGGCGAAAGCCUGAUCCAGCCAUGCCGCGUGUGUGAAGAAGGUCUUCGGAUUGUAAAGCACUUUAAGUUGGGAGGAAGGGCAGUAAGCGAAUACCUUGCUGUUUUGACGUUACCGACAGAAUAAGCACCGGCUAACUCUGUGCCAGCAGCCGCGGUAAUACAGAGGGUGCAAGCGUUAAUCGGAAUUACUGGGCGUAAAGCGCGCGUAGGUGGUUCGUUAAGUUGAAUGUGAAAGCCCCGGGCUCAACCUGGGAACUGCAUCCAAAACUGGCGAGCUAGAGUAGGGCAGAGGGUGGUGGAAUUUCCUGUGUAGCGGAGAAAUGCGUAGAUAUAGGAAGGAACACCAGUGGCGAAGGCGACCACCUGGACUCAUACUGACACUGAGGUGCGAAAGCGUGGGGAGCAAACAGG
RNAcentral lists this ribosomal RNA (429 nucleotides) under Pseudomonadota bacterium. Its description in RNAcentral is "Proteobacteria bacterium partial 16S ribosomal RNA". It matches the Rfam family "Bacterial small subunit ribosomal RNA", at positions 355 to 776 of the family's 1533-position model. Lineage: Bacteria; Pseudomonadati; Pseudomonadota. The record is from RNAcentral.